RNAcentral lists this ribosomal RNA (237 nucleotides) under uncultured Diversispora. Its description in RNAcentral is "partial small subunit ribosomal RNA". The stretch from base 49 to 237 matches the Rfam family "Eukaryotic small subunit ribosomal RNA", at positions 693 to 883 of the family's 1831-position model. The record is from RNAcentral. Lineage: Eukaryota; Fungi; Glomeromycota; Glomeromycetes; Diversisporales; Diversisporaceae.
GGGAUUCAUCCAUUGGUCAGGCUUAACUGUCUGCACUGGUGAGAUGAGUUCUUACCUUCUGAGGAACCUUCAUGCCAUUCAUUUGGUGUGAUGGGAAAUCAAGACUGUUACUUUGAAAAAAUUAGAGUGUUUAAAGCAGGCUUACGUCUGAAUACAUUAGCAUGGAAUAAUGAAAUAGGACGGAUGAUCCUAUUUCGUUGGUUUCUAGGAUCACCGUAAUGAUUAAUAGGGACAGUU